UUUUAUUGCUUAAGUUUUGUUUCCUACUAGCUGUGUGUGCUACCUCCCUCUUCUGUACUUUGGCUACUGCAUAUGUGAAAUGCAUACUGUGCAGUGCCUAGGUCAUAGCACCACAGGGAAAAUAAAUGUCUUAGCAGAGGAUAAAGCACCUGUGGCAGUACCUGUGACAGAAUUAGCACUGAAAAACGUUCAUCCUGCUGAUUCUUUGUAGCCAGGGGAACAAUUCCACAGGAGUUGACAUACCAGGUGAUAUCCACAGCUGUCAGAAGAGUUCCGGAAAUGAUACCCAAGCCUACUUGAAGCAUUAACUGUCUCAACAAGAUGCCUUUGCCUGACUGUUACCCAGAGGAGACAGCUUAUUUCAGGGAUGAAUGAAGCAGCCUGGGCUCCCGCACACGCCGUCUGAAAGCAGGAGGUGGAUUUGUCUGCCCUGGCAGUAUUGAAGACCUGCGGUCGCUCAAGACCCAGCUGAGUAUCUGUGUUUCUCUGUAUUGGUAUGUCUCCUGUUAUUGUGACCGAAUGCUUGCCAAGAAGUGACUUCCAGGGGGGAAGAUUUGUUUUGUGUUACCCUUUGAAGGGGCGUGUGGGCAGUACGUGUCAGGAGUGCGAGGCCGCUCGCCCAUCACACUACCUCUGCCAUCAGGGAGCAGCGAGACCUGCUGCCCAGCGGGCUUGCUCCUUCUGACCUUCAUGCUCAGUCGAGGACCCUGGCUCACCGAUGCUGCUUCCCACAGCCGGGGAAGUCUCAGACGAGCCUUUCUGGAAACAACCCAGCGGGACACACCCAGAGCCGUCUGUGUGUUUCGGAAUCCUGCCAUACCGUGUUCAAAUUUGAUUUUUUAUUUCUGAGGUGUUCUGACAACAAGAAAAACUUGGCUAAGGGCUCCUGUUCAGAUGCUUAAGACCCUGAAAUCCACUCCCAGGAAACGGAACGCGAAAGCUAUUAGCUGAGAAUGGCCUCUGCUACACUGAUUACAUACACACGCGUGUACACUUGUUUCUUUUCUGUAUCAUGCAGUAAAUUCUGAUAUAAACUCGGACGACUUUUUAACACAACCCAAGCAAGUAACCUUAGCCCUGGUCUGGUCUGGCUUCUUCCUUCAUUGCCCACAUGUUGUUGACCUUUUACCAGGGGCACAAAGGCUGCCCUGUGGGCUCACUGCAUCUUUGUUACAGCCUCUUUCUUACUCUUUAUCGCACAAGCCUAGCAUUUGUGACUGGCUGGCUUUCAUCCAUCUAGAAGGUAUUUAUGUACAGAAGCAAAUUCAAACCCUGUAAAACACUGGCCUUUACCAUUUAUGAUUAUGAAUGCUUUUGUAUUUUCUGUCUAGAAAACAAAGAGUUUUCUCUUUAUUCUUUCCCCAGUGGUCCAUGACGAUGGUGAUAGAGAACACAGAGAAGAGUUAAUGAGGCCGAUGUUAACAGCGACCACACUGUGCAGGACAAAUCUCAUACCAAGCCAAGAAGAGGGCUUUGAUAUCAUUUAAUAUACAAGGAAAUUGAAGCCAAGACAAUUUAAGUCACUCAGCGUCACAUUGCUAACACAAUUUGGAGCUGGAAGUGAAACCCCGGUCCAACUGCCCACACAGCCCCAGCUCCAACUGCAGAGUUAAUAAAAAAUAAACACUCAAGAAUGCGAUUUGAAAUAAGGA
Molecule: long non-coding RNA, 1652 nt
Organism: Meriones unguiculatus (Mongolian gerbil)
Lineage: Eukaryota; Metazoa; Chordata; Mammalia; Rodentia; Muridae
Exons: 3
Source: RefSeq, a predicted model, not a curated record